RNAcentral lists this ribosomal RNA (472 nucleotides) under uncultured bacterium. RNAcentral describes it as "bacterial SSU rRNA". It matches the Rfam family "Bacterial small subunit ribosomal RNA", at positions 329 to 792 of the family's 1533-position model. The record is from RNAcentral.
UUCCAGACUCCUACGGGAGGCAGCAGUGGGGAAUCUUCCGCAAUGGGCGCAAGCCUGACGGAGCAAUGCCGCGUGAACGAAGAAGGUCUUCGGAUUGUAAAGUUCUGUCCUUAUCGAAGAGAGGGUAUAGAGUGAAAAAUGAUAUACUAGGACGGUAGAUGAGGAGGAAGCCCCGGCUAACUACGUGCCAGCAGCCGCGGUAAUACGUAGGGGGCAAGCGUUAUCCGGAUUUACCGGGUGUAAAGGGAGCGUAGACGGCCAGACAAGUCAGGAGUGAAAGCCCAGGGCUCAACCCUGGGACUGCUUUUGAAACUGCCGGGCUGGAGUGCAGGAGAGGUAAGCGGAAUUCCUAGUGUAGCGGUGAAAUGCGUAGAUAUUAGGAGGAACACCAGUGGCGAAGGCGGCUUACUGGACUGUAACUGACGUUGAGGCUCGAAAGCGUGGGGAGCAAACAGGAUUAGAUACCCUGGUA